This is a non-coding RNA of Arachis ipaensis, 150 nucleotides long. NCBI's taxonomy places the organism in Eukaryota, Viridiplantae, Streptophyta, Magnoliopsida, Fabales, Fabaceae. The record is from RefSeq and is a predicted model, not a curated record.
GGUUAAUGCUUGUAAUAAUAUUUAUAUAUAUGUAUGUAUAUAUAUAUAUGUAUGUACUCUUUAUGAGCUUUUGUAAGUUGUAUGGUAUGUAUGGAUGUACGUUACCUAACAAAAGUAUUUUGGAGCAGUAUUGCAGUUUAAAGUUUUAAA